RNAcentral lists this ribosomal RNA (497 nucleotides) under uncultured bacterium. RNAcentral describes it as "partial 16S ribosomal RNA". It matches the Rfam family "Bacterial small subunit ribosomal RNA", at positions 28 to 507 of the family's 1533-position model. The record is from RNAcentral.
GAUGAACGCUGGCGGCGUGCCUAAUACAUGCAAGUCGAGCGAACAGAUGAGGAGCUUGCUCCUCUGACGUUAGCGGCGGACGGGUGAGUAACACGUGGAUAACCUACCUAUAAGACUGGGAUAACUUCGGGAAACCGGAGCUAAUACCGGAUAAUAUAUUGAACCGCAUGGUUCAAUAGUGAAAGACGGUUUUGCUGUCACUUAUAGAUGGAUCCGCGCCGCAUUAGCUAGUUGGUAAGGUAACGGCUUACCAAGGCGACGAUGCGUAGCCGACCUGAGAGGGUGAUCGGCCACACUGGAACUGAGACACGGUCAAGACUCCUACGGGAGGCAGCAGUAGGGAAUCUUCCGCAAUGGGCGAAAGCUUGACGGAGCAACGCCGCGUGAGUGAUGAAGGUCUUCGGAUCGUAAAACUCUGUUAUUAGGGAAGAACAAAUGUGUAAGUAACUAUGCACGUCUUGACGGUACCUAAUCAGAAAGCCACGGCUAACUACGUG